RNAcentral lists this small RNA (396 nucleotides) under Arabidopsis thaliana (thale cress). RNAcentral's name for it is "ATSL037890". The record is from RNAcentral. Lineage: Eukaryota; Viridiplantae; Streptophyta; Magnoliopsida; Brassicales; Brassicaceae.
ACAUAACAUCAAGUCAUAUUUGACUACAAAAACCAAAACCAAGCUUAUUUUUGAUUCUCAAAGCUUGGAUGGUGAAGCCGAAGUUCUUAUGAGUUUUUGGUUUUGAAUCGUAUAACAAGGAAGCACUACUUUACUUUUCGGUAUCUCGUAGAGGUUCUAGUUUUAUAUUCAAUCAUACACAUCACAUCUAGUCAAAUUUCACUCUGAAACGCUAAAAAAGAUUCUUCUUGCUUCUUAAAGUAUCAUAGUAUAUUUGAUCCUAAACACACUAAACCUAAACUGUACACCCUAAAUCCCAAAGCCUAACAUCCAAUUCCUAAACCGUAACUCUGGAACCCUAAAUCUUAAACCCGAAACAGUAAACCCUAAACCCUAAACUCCUAACCCUAAACCCUG